GAUGAACGCUGGCGGCGUGCCUAAUACAUGCAAGUCGAGCGAACGGACGAGAGGCUUGCUUCUCUGAUGUUAGCGGCGGACGGGUGAGUAACACGUGGAUAACCUACCUAUAAGACUGGGAUAACUUCGGGAAACCGGAGCUAAUACCGGAUAAUAUUUUGAACCGCAUGGUUCAAAAGUGAAAGACGGUCUUGCUGUCACUUAUAGAUGGAUCCGCGCUGCAUUAGCUAGUUGGUAAGGUAACGGCUUACCAAGGCAACGAUGCAUAGCCGACCUGAGAGGGUGAUCGGCCACACUGGAACUGAGACACGGUCCAGACUCCUACGGGAGGCAGCAGUAGGGAAUCUUCCGCAAUGGGCGAAAGCCUGACGGAGCAACGCCGCGUGAGUGAUGAAGGUCUUCGGAUAGUAAAACUCUGUUAUUAGGGAAGAACAUAUGUGUAAGUAACUGUGCACAUCUUGACGGUACCUAAUCAGAAAGCCACGGCUAACUACGUG
Molecule: ribosomal RNA, 497 nt
Filed under: uncultured bacterium
Lineage: Bacteria
Description: partial 16S ribosomal RNA
Rfam family: Bacterial small subunit ribosomal RNA
Source: RNAcentral